Molecule: transfer RNA, 91 nt
Filed under: Pseudodesulfovibrio portus
Lineage: Bacteria; Pseudomonadati; Thermodesulfobacteriota; Desulfovibrionia; Desulfovibrionales; Desulfovibrionaceae
Description: tRNA-Gly
Source: RNAcentral
CUGACCGUGGGCGGGCGCGAGGCCUUCCGGCUGCCCUCCGGCCAGGACCUGUGCGCCCGGCUGGCCGCGUUCUGGCCCCCGGCGGUCUGCC